CACUCCACUGGACACCCACUUCCUGUGCCCUGUUCUGGGUUCUGAUAUCGGGGAAAUAGAAGCCUGGACAGGUCCUACCUGCCCAGCAGGAAAACUUGUAAAGGCAGAGGCUUGGGAUUGGAGUAUCAUUGUUGGUCAUCCUUUGCUUCAUAGAGGACUGAUGGCAUCAGAGAGCCAUGCCUUGACUAGCUGGUGAGUUGGAUUGAAGUGAGACAGUGGGGAGAUGAUCUCUGUCAGGCUAGGGGCACAGAGUUCAAGGGCUACACAGAGGAGAAGAAAAACCAAGCUAUGGAGAGGAUGAUGGGAUUACUAGAUCUUCAAAACAAAGAAUGAUGGAGGAGAGCCCCAGAUGCUCCAGGCUGAGAGACAAUUCAGUGGGGCACCUCAAAGUAGCUGGUGAUGGAUUUUCAUCAUCUGCCUGAUAAAUAAUAACUGCCAUUGA
Molecule: long non-coding RNA, 442 nt
Organism: Monodelphis domestica (gray short-tailed opossum)
Lineage: Eukaryota; Metazoa; Chordata; Mammalia; Didelphimorphia; Didelphidae
Source: RefSeq, a predicted model, not a curated record